UAGGGAAUCUUCGGCAAUGGACGAAAGUCUGACCGAGCAACGCCGCGUGAGUGAAGAAGGUUUUCGGAUCGUAAAACUCUGUUGGUAGAGAAGAACGUUGGUGAGAGUGGAAAGCUCAUCAAGUGACGGUAACUACCCAGAAAGGGACGGCUAACUACGUGCCAGCAGCCGCGGUAAUACGUAGGUCCCGAGCGUUGUCCGGAUUUAUUGGGCGUAAAGCGAGCGCAGGUGGUUUAUUAAGUCUGGUGUAAAAGGCAGUGGCUCAACCAUUGUAUGCAUUGGAAACUGGUAGACUUGAGUGCAGGAGAGGAGAGUGGAAUUCCAUGUGUAGCGGUGAAAUGCGUAGAUAUAUGGAGGAACACCGGUGGCGAAAAGCGGCUCUCUGGCCUGUAACUGACACUGAGGCUCGAAAGCGUGGGGAGCAAAACAGGAUUAGAUACCCUGGUAGUCCACGCCGUAAAACGAUGAGUGCUAGAUGUAGGGAGCUAUAAGUUCUCUGUAUCGCAGCUAACGCAAUAAGCACUCCGCCUGGGGAGUACGACCGCAAGGUU
This 551-nucleotide ribosomal RNA is filed under the name uncultured bacterium. RNAcentral's name for it is "partial 16S ribosomal RNA". It matches the Rfam family "Bacterial small subunit ribosomal RNA", at positions 355 to 895 of the family's 1533-position model. The record is from RNAcentral.